Molecule: ribosomal RNA, 437 nt
Filed under: uncultured bacterium
Lineage: Bacteria
Description: partial 16S ribosomal RNA
Rfam family: Bacterial small subunit ribosomal RNA
Source: RNAcentral
AGCGAACGCUGGCGGCAGGCUUAACACAUGCAAGUCGAGCGGGCAUCCUUGUGGUGUCAGCGGCAGACGGGUGAGUAACGCGUGGGAACGUGCCCUUCGGUUCGGAAUAACUCAGGGAAACUUGAGCUAAUACCGGAUACGUGCGAGAGCAGAAAGGUUUAUCUGCCGAAGGAUCGGCCCGCGUCUGAUUAGCUAGUUGGUGAGGUUACGGCUCACCAAGGCGACGAUCAGUAGCUGGUCUGAGAGGAUGAUCAGACACACUGGGACUGAGACACGGCCCAGACUCCUACGGGAGGCAGCAGUGGGGAAUAUUGGACAAUGGGGGCAACCCUGAUCCAGCCAUGCCGCGUGAGUGAUGACGGCCUUAGGGUUGUAAAGCUCUUUUCUCCGGGACGAUAAUGACGGUACCGGAGGAAUAAGCCCCGGCUAACUUCGUG